CAAAAAAUAGUUUAUUUAAGAAUAUUAAUUUUGGAGAUUAAUGGUAUAUGUAAAUUUUAUAUAUUUUUUUGA
This 72-nucleotide transfer RNA is filed under the name Pseudomyrmex particeps. RNAcentral describes it as "tRNA-Pro". Lineage: Eukaryota; Metazoa; Arthropoda; Insecta; Hymenoptera; Formicidae. The record is from RNAcentral.